GAUGAACGCUAGCGGCAGGCCUAACACAUGCAAGUCGAGGGGUAGAGUUCUUCGGGACUUGAGACCGGCGCACGGGUGCGUAACGCGUAUGCAAUCUACCUUAUACAGGGGAAUAGCCCAGAGAAAUUUGGAUUAAUGCCCCAUAGUGUUAUCGAAUCGCAUGGUUUGAUAACUAAAGUUCCAACGGUAUAAGAUGAGCAUGCGUCCAUUAGUUAGUUGGUAAGGUAACGGCUUACCAAGACAAUGAUGGGUAGGGGUCCUGAGAGGGAGAUCCCCCACACUGGUACUGAGACACGGACCAGACUCCUACGGGAGGCAGCAGUGAGGAAUAUUGGUCAAAUGGGCGCAAGCCUGAACCAGCCAUGCCGCGUGCAGGAAGACGGUCCUAUGGAUUGUAAACUGCUUUUAUACAGG
RNAcentral lists this ribosomal RNA (414 nucleotides) under uncultured bacterium. Its description in RNAcentral is "bacterial SSU rRNA". It matches the Rfam family "Bacterial small subunit ribosomal RNA", at positions 28 to 444 of the family's 1533-position model. The record is from RNAcentral.